UAGAGGAAGUAAAAGUCGUAACAAGGUUUCCGUAGGUGAACCUGCGGAAGGAUCAUUAUUGAAAUAAACCUGAUGGGUUGUUGCUGGUUCUCUAGGGAGCAUGUGCACGCUUGUCAUCUUUAUAUCUCCACCUGUGCACUUUUUGUAGACCUGGAUAAUCUUUCUGAAUGCACUUGCAUUUCAGGUUUGAGGAAUUGACUUCAUGUCUCUCCUUACAUUUCCAGGCCUAUGUUUCUUCAUAUACCCCUAUGUAUGUUUCAGAAUGUAACAGGAUGGGCCUUUUGUGCCUAUAAAUAUAUACAACUUUCAGCAACGGAUCUCUUGGCUCUCGCAUCGAUGAAGAACGCAGCGAAAUGCGAUAAGUAAUGUGAAUUGCAGAAUUCAGUGAAUCAUCGAAUCUUUGAACGCACCUUGCGCUCCUUGGUAUUCCGAGGAGCAUGCCUGUUUGAGUGUCAUUAAUAUAUCAACCUCUUCGGCUUAUGCUUGUUGAGUGUUGGAUGGUGGGGGUUUUGCUGGUGUCUUAUGAAGUCAGCUCCCCUGAAAUGCAUUAGCGGAACAAUUUGUUGACCGUUCAUUGGUGUGAUAAAAUAUCUACGCUAUUGACGUCAGUCAGUUCAGCUUCUAACAGUCCAUUGACUUGGACAAAUUUUCAUUAAUGUGACCUCAAAUCAGGUAGGACUACCCGCUGAACUUAAGC
This 697-nucleotide ribosomal RNA is filed under the name Cortinarius amarocaerulescens. RNAcentral describes it as "eukaryotic LSU rRNA". The stretch from base 302 to 455 matches the Rfam family "5.8S ribosomal RNA". The record is from RNAcentral. Lineage: Eukaryota; Fungi; Basidiomycota; Agaricomycetes; Agaricales; Cortinariaceae.